This 450-nucleotide ribosomal RNA is filed under the name uncultured bacterium. RNAcentral's name for it is "bacterial SSU rRNA". It matches the Rfam family "Bacterial small subunit ribosomal RNA", at positions 29 to 525 of the family's 1533-position model. The record is from RNAcentral.
AACGAACGCUGGCGGCAGGCCUAACACAUGCAAGUCGAACGCCCUAGCAAUAGGGAGUGGCAGACGGGUGAGUAACACGUGGGAACCUUCCCUAUAGUACGGAAUAGCUCAGGGAAACUUGAAGUAAUACCGUAUACGCCCGAGAGGGGAAAGAUUUAUCGCUAUAGGAUGGGCCCGCGUCGGAUUAGCUAGUUGGUGAGGUAAUGGCCCACCAAGGCGACGAUCCGUAGCUGGUUUGAGAGAACGACCAGCCACACUGGGACUGAGACACGGCCCAGACUCCUACGGGAGGCAGCAGUGGGGAAUAUUGGACAAUGGGCGCAAGCCUGAUCCAGCCAUGCCGCGUGAGUGAUGAAGGCCUUAGGGUUGUAAAGCUCUUUAGCAGGGAAGAUAAUGACUGUACCUGCAGAAUAAGCUCCGGCUAACUUCGUGCCAGCAGCCGCGGUAAAU